UGGGGAAUAUUGCACAAUGGGCGCAAGCCUGAUGCAGCGACGCCGCGUGAGGGAUGACGGCCUUCGGGUUGUAAACCUCUGUUAGCAGGGAAGAAGAGAGAUUGACGGUACCUGCAGAGAAAGCGCCGGCUAACUACGUGCCAGCAGCCGCGGUAAUACGUAGGGCGCGAGCGUUGUCCGGAAUUAUUGGGCGUAAAGAGCUUGUAGGCGGUUUGUCGCGUCUGCUGUGAAAGGCCGGGGCUUAACUCCGUGUAUUGCAGUGGGUACGGGCAGACUAGAGUGCAGUAGGGGAGACUGGAAUUCCUGGUGUAGCGGUGGAAUGCGCAGAUAUCAGGAGGAACACCGAUGGCGAAGGCAGGUCUCUGGGCUGUAACUGACGCUGAGAAGCGAAAGCAUGGGGAGCGAACAGGAUUAGAUACCCCGGUAGUCCAUGCCGUAAACGUUGGGCACUAGGUGUGGGGGACAUUCCACGUUUUCCGCGCCGUAGCUAACGCAUUAAGUGCCCCGCCUGGGGAGUACGGCCGCAAGGUUA
This 532-nucleotide ribosomal RNA is filed under the name uncultured bacterium. RNAcentral's name for it is "bacterial SSU rRNA". It matches the Rfam family "Bacterial small subunit ribosomal RNA", at positions 355 to 896 of the family's 1533-position model. The record is from RNAcentral.